AUACGGAGGGUGCAAGCGUUGUUCGGAAUCACUGGGCGUAAAGGGCGCGCAGGCGGUUUGGUAAGUCAGAUGUGAAAGCCCAUGGCCCAACCAUGGAAGUGCAUUUGAAACUGUCAGACUUGAGUACUAGAGGGGAAAGUGGAAUUCCCGGUGUAGAGGUGAAAUUCGUAGAUAUCGGGAGGAAUACCGGUGGCGAAGGCGACUUUCUGGCUAGAUACUGACGCUGAGGCGCGAAAGCGUGGGGAGCAAACAGGAUUAGAUACCCGAGUAGUCC
RNAcentral lists this ribosomal RNA (274 nucleotides) under uncultured bacterium. RNAcentral's name for it is "partial 16S ribosomal RNA". It matches the Rfam family "Bacterial small subunit ribosomal RNA", at positions 523 to 796 of the family's 1533-position model. The record is from RNAcentral.